CGGGGAAACCUCGUUCUCCUUGCCACAUACAACCAUUUAUAGGAAUAUUACCUACUGUUGAUCUGCGAUAGCGAAUAAUACUACGUAGGACCGGUUACGGAACGAGAUAUUUACUGCCUCAGUCACCAGUGUGGACUUGCGCCUUAAGUGAGGUUGACUUCUCCUCUUAUAAAUAAUAAUUAUGGUAUUUUUGUUAAAAAUUGAUGUAAAAUUGAACCCUCAAAUAUUCUAUAAAUGCUCGCCGCGACUAUAAUGGCACAAUUCAUUCUGUUAAUGAUCGAAGACCAAUCGAUAUAAUGUUCACUCUGGAACCAGGCUGGUAGGAACAAUUUAGAGUGAGAAUUUAAAUUUAAUAUGUUUAUCAAAAAUGUAUGCUGAAUUUUUAAUUUUUUAUC
RNAcentral lists this unclassified non-coding RNA (395 nucleotides) under Drosophila virilis. RNAcentral describes it as "GJ17522". Lineage: Eukaryota; Metazoa; Arthropoda; Insecta; Diptera; Drosophilidae. The record is from RNAcentral.